GAUAAGAACGUAGCGAAAUGCGAUACUUGGUGUGAAUUGCAGAAUCCCGUGAACCAUCGAGUCUUUGAACGCAAGUUGCGCCCGAAGCCUCGGCUAAGGGCACGUCUGCCUGGGCGUCACGCAUCGCGUCUCCCCCAAACCGCCAAGGCGGAGGGGAAGGAAGAUGGCUUCCCGUGCCUCACCCGGCGCGGUUGGCCUAAAUUUGGAGCCCGCGGCACUUAGCUCUCGCGGCGAUAGGUGGUGAACAAGGCCUUGGCCGUGCAAACAACCCGCUGCGAAGCUCUAUGUCACGUGCGCUCGUCGGACCCUUUGAAGUUGCCUUCGGUGACUUAAAACCUUUGCGACCCCAGGUCAGGCGGGGCUACCCGCUGAAUUUAAGCAUAUCAAUAAGCGGAGGA
This 398-nucleotide unclassified non-coding RNA is filed under the name soil metagenome. RNAcentral's name for it is "partial contains 5.8S ribosomal RNA, internal transcribed spacer 2, and large subunit ribosomal RNA". The stretch from base 4 to 119 matches the Rfam family "5.8S ribosomal RNA", at positions 39 to 154 of the family's 154-position model. The record is from RNAcentral.